RNAcentral lists this ribosomal RNA (919 nucleotides) under uncultured bacterium. Its description in RNAcentral is "bacterial SSU rRNA". It matches the Rfam family "Bacterial small subunit ribosomal RNA", at positions 62 to 985 of the family's 1533-position model. The record is from RNAcentral.
UCGANCGGUAACAGGUUAAGCUGACGAGUGGCGAACGGGUGAGUAAUAUAUCGGAACGUGCCCAGUUGUGGGGGAUAACUACUCGAAAGAGUAGCUAAUACCGCAUGAGACCUGAGGGUGAAAGCGGGGGAUCGCAAGACCUCGCGCAGUUGGAGCGGCCGAUAUCAGAUUAGCUAGUUGGCGGGGUAAAAGCCCACCAAGGCGACGAUCUGUAGCUGGUCUGAGAGGACGACCAGCCACACUGGGACUGAGACACGGCCCAGACUCCUACGGGAGGCAGCAGUGGGGAAUUUUGGACAAUGGACGCAAGUCUGAUCCAGCCAUGCCGCGUGUGGGAAGAAGGCCUUCGGGUUGUAAACCACUUUUGUCAGGGAAGAAACGGUCUGGGUUAAUACCUUGGGCUAAUGACGGUACCUGAAGAAUAAGCACCGGCUAACUACGUGCCAGCAGCCGCGGUAAUACGUAGGGUGCAAGCGUUAAUCGGAAUUACUGGGCGUAAAGCGUGCGCAGGCGGUUAUGCAAGACAGAUGUGAAAUCCCCGGGCUCAACCUGGGAACUGCAUUUGUGACUGCAUGGCUAGAGUACGGUAGAGGGGGAUGGAAUUCCGCGUGUAGCAGUGAAAUGCGUAGAUAUGCGGAGGAACACCGAUGGCGAAGGCAAUCCCCUGGACCUGUACUGACGCUCAUGCACGAAAGCGUGGGGAGCAAACAGGAUUAGAUACCCUGGUAGUCCACGCCCUAAACGAUGUCAACUGGUUGUUGGGAGGGUUUCUUCUCAGUAACGUAGCUAACGCGUGAAGUUGACCGCCUGGGGAGUACGGCCGCAAGGUUGAAGCUCAAAGGAAUUGACGGGNNCCGCACAAGCGGNGGAUGAUGUGGUUUAAUUCGAUGCAACGCGAAAAACCUUACCUACCCUUGAC